GUAGUUUUUCUGUAGUACGGAGGACCCUCCCCAGAAGCCCCCUCACUAUCUCCGGAACUGGAGCAGUCCAAACCAGGGAAUUUCUUUGAAGGAAGCACCUCAACACUACCUCCAUAGCCUUCUUUGAACAGGACUGGAGCCCAGGAGAUGUGGGAGCUUUGAAUGCUCGGGAGCUAAACCUGGCCUUAGCAGACUGACUGUGCCUUUUCCAAAGCCGCAUCCUUCUCCGACUCAUGAUAUAUCCGAGGCACGUGUCAAAGUCCACAUAAGACAAUGGCUUUGCUAUUGUCAACACCAGCAACUCAUAGGCAACGCCAGACCCAGCCUCUUCUGUCCAUCAGCUUGCUGCUGUACUGCAGAAUAACUACUUCAGUGCUGCUUAGGAGUUGAAGGAUUCCUGAUGUCUUCUGCAGCCUCUGGUGAGAAAUCUCUUCCAGGCAUCUGACAGCUCCCUGGCUGACAAGUGCGAGUCCGAUCUGGAGAAGGUGCUGGCUCCAGUAGCCUGAGGGUGACCCUGGUGAGAUAUGAUUGUGCAGCAAACUGUUACCUCCCUGCCUUUUCCUGAAGGAU
Heterocephalus glaber (naked mole-rat) is the source of this 570-nucleotide long non-coding RNA. The record is from Ensembl. Lineage: Eukaryota; Metazoa; Chordata; Mammalia; Rodentia; Bathyergidae.